Non-coding RNA from Erythranthe guttata (spotted monkey flower), 363 nucleotides. The record is from RefSeq and is a predicted model, not a curated record. Lineage: Eukaryota; Viridiplantae; Streptophyta; Magnoliopsida; Lamiales; Phrymaceae.
UGUCAUUCGUUGUUGUGUACCUAAGAAAAUUUUGGUCUAUGGUGCUGCUUUUGGUGCUAACUCGAGAACACAAAACAUUACAGGUGGGAACUGAACGAGAAAAUUGAUUUCAAUGGGAAGAAACUUCUACUCAAAAAGGAGCAAGGAGCAGGUUUUUUGUUUGACGAUUUGACAUGUAUAAAUUUGAACAAAUCAACACUCUUACAUCAAAUGGAGCUGAUAUAGAAAAUUGUACUAGAUUGCCGGGUGCUGCUCACGAUUAUACGAGAUUUAUUUGUCGUGCAUCUAGGUAACUAGGUUGGUGGUCAAUUGAUGAAGGGAGUCAGGAGGAGCAAGUUCGGCUAUAUUGUGCAUUGGGAUCUA